This 253-nucleotide ribosomal RNA is filed under the name uncultured bacterium. RNAcentral describes it as "partial 16S ribosomal RNA". It matches the Rfam family "Bacterial small subunit ribosomal RNA", at positions 524 to 776 of the family's 1533-position model. The record is from RNAcentral.
GACAGAGGGUGCAAACGUUGCUCGGAAUCACUGGGCGUAAAGGGCGUGUAGGCGGGAAGGAUAGUCAGAUGUGAAAGCCCUGGGCUCAACCCAGGAACUGCAUUUGAAACUCCCUUUCUUGAGUGUCGGAGAGGAAUGCGGAAUUCCUGGUGUAGAGGUGAAAUGCGUAGAUAUCUGGAGGAACACCGGUGGCGAAGGCGGCAUCCUGGACCGGCAUUGACGCUGAGGCGCGAAAGCCAGGGGAGCAAACGGG